Molecule: ribosomal RNA, 403 nt
Filed under: bacterium
Lineage: Bacteria
Description: partial 16S ribosomal RNA
Rfam family: Bacterial small subunit ribosomal RNA
Source: RNAcentral
UGGGGAAUAUUGCACAAUGGGGGAAACCCUGAUGCAGCGACGCCGCGUGAACGAAGAAGGUAUUCGUAUCGUAAAGUUCUGUCCUAUGGGAAGAUAAUGACAGUACCAUAGAAGAAAGCUCCGGCUAAAUACGUGCCAGCAGCCGCGGUAAUACGUAUGGAGCGAGCGUUGUCCGGAAUUAUUGGGCGUAAAGGGUACGCAGGCGGUUUAAUAAGUCGAAUGUUAAAGAUCGGGGCUCAACCCCGCAAAGCAUUGGAAACUGAUAAAAUUGAGUAGUGGGGAGGAAGGUGGAAUUCCUAGUGUAGUGGUGAAAUACGUAGAUAUUAGGAGGAGUACCAGUAGCGAAGGAGACUUUCUGGACACAAACUGACGCUGAGGUACGAAAGCGUGGGGAGCAAACAGG